Long non-coding RNA from Cygnus olor (mute swan), 273 nucleotides. RefSeq lists it as uncharacterized. The record is from RefSeq and is a predicted model, not a curated record. The transcript has 3 exons. Lineage: Eukaryota; Metazoa; Chordata; Aves; Anseriformes; Anatidae.
AAAGAGGCCUUGGAGGAGAGGAUCAACAGCUGCACGGCAGAGGAAAUCUAGCCUGGCUUGGUGGUGGAUGGAUAAACAUGGAUCCACUGGACACAUGGAAUCAGAACAAAAGUUUAUCUCCUUGUAUAACCUCCUCGUUAUAAUUACUGAACAAAAUAACAGCAAUAAGACAUGACAAAAGUUGAAAAUGAGUGCUUGCUGCAGGGACUGCUGUGCAUUUUCUGACGCAUUCACAGGUUAGAAACAUGAAGAAAAAGAGCAAAUGUGUAAGUC